AAUUGAUGGUGUAGACAUUGGGUCAAAAGCAAUUUAAAACGAUCCCAUGCCUCAUGAAACAAUUCACCCUUUCUUUGAGUAAAAGUGCAUAUUUUACUCCUAUAGUC
Molecule: small nucleolar RNA, 107 nt
Organism: Ipomoea nil (Japanese morning glory)
Lineage: Eukaryota; Viridiplantae; Streptophyta; Magnoliopsida; Solanales; Convolvulaceae
Rfam family: Plant small nucleolar RNA R71
About the family: R71 is a member of the C/D box family of snoRNAs containing the C (UGAUGA) and D (CUGA) box motifs.
Source: Rfam